AGAAGACAGCACGCUAGCGUAUCUAGUCUGUGUUUAUCUAUGGUCGGCACGUCUGGUAGCAUCUCUGGCUGCUGUUGACCUUGUUUUUGGAGUAAAACACGGUGGAAGCUGAAUUAGUGAGGAUGACUCCUGCUCCUGUCAUCUCUAAGCUCCUCACACAUCUUUACCUGCACAUGAGGAAAAUCACUCCUGUAGAAUGCAGAUGUUCAGAGGGAGAUGAUGCCACAUCUGGUCCAGCUGAUGGAAGGUCUUGAAGUUCUCUGACUGGCCUCGACUGAAGAUGGUCGUCUCACUGGAUUUAAGGUUCAGAUGCUCAGUAACAAACUCCACCAAUGAGCCAACAAGGAAGCUUUAGGUUUAUUAAAUGUUGCUAUGAAGGUUUCGCUGUUUUUCUUUGUGAAUGCAAUGUGCUCCAACUGAAACUUGAAUUAGAACUUAGAAGUAAAUCCUUCCAUCUGAAAGGAUUUAGUUGCAUUAAUAACCUCAUAACAUUAUAAUUUUUCUUCCAGUCUUGGUUGGAAAUAGAAUCUCUGUAUUGAUUCAGUUAAAAACUGAACUUCACAGCAUGUUGAAGCAAAACAACCAGAUGAAAACUGUGAUGGUGUUGGAUUGUCAGACCGUAAUGUUGCAGCUCAAAGCAGCUUUUCUAUCUCAGUUCAUUCUGACAUUCAGCUAUGAAUCAACACAGCAGAUGGUGAUCCAUGCUGUGAAAGUCUCACAUCUCCUGAUUUAAUGGAGCUGCUUUGCACUUUUUACACUGUUUAUUCACCAACACUUUAUUUAAUAAAAGUCCCAUCUAGUUUUUAUGAGGAAUGUGAUGUUUUAAUUUCUCUGUGAAUAACUGCAGUCUAAUGCAACAGCUGGAGUUGUAACAUCUGUCCUGAUAUUGAUCAUGAAGUAUUGAUCAGAGUACUUAUGGUCAGCAGUCAUCCCUGAAGUUUUAUAUUAAAAUCUUUACUUGUGUUGUGAACUUUGGUAAGAAGCAGAAACGUUAGCGUUGCCAUGGAUACAUGAGUGUUAAAUUCUGUCCAUGUUUCCAUUUUGGGAAAUUCAGUCCAGUUCCAGAAUGUGGAGGAAUUUAGUCUCACAAUCACAGACAACAAAUAUUAUCUGAAAGUCGGGUUAUUGUUGUUUAUCAGCACAAUACAAAAAGAUUAAUGUUAGAAAUAUUCCAGUUCAGACUCUAGAAUAUCAUGAUUUAUGUAAAUUUACCUCAAUAAUAUGAAUGUUCAGGUUAAGAUUGUACAGUGAUAUUUAUUAUGUAAGUUUAGCUGAUUAAAGUUUAUAACUCUGCACUGAAGUAUUAUUUAAAUUGACAUCAUUAUUAUGAUAUUUAGGGUCAGACCCUACAGUAUUGAGAUUAAGAAAUCAAAUAUUCUAUGAAAUGUAAAUACACUGAACUCAUUUGGAUAUAUUUAAGUGAGACUCUACAAUAUUAUUUGACACAAAUCUAUCUAAAUCAAAAUUUUAAUAAUUUUCACACCAAACAUUUACUGAUUUAAACAUUAAAAUCACUCCUUUCUAAUCCUCUGCUAUACUUUCAAACCUGAGGCCUUAAAUAGAAACACACAAGGAUCUGAUUGAAGGAACUUCUGCAGAGUCCUGGUUCCAGAACAUGAUGAUAGAAUUAUAGACAAACUUUAACAAAAGCUGCCUGAGAGUUUACAGGUUUUUAUUUAUGGAUUUCUUCAGUAAUUUAAUGAGUGUUAUCAGCAAUAAUCAAGUGUUCAUUUGAUGAACUUCAUUUCCUAAAACAUACAGAAUUGGAGCUCAUAUCUUUGGCAGCUGUAAAGUUUCUGCUCCUUCAAAGUUCACAACACAAUGAAUGAAUUCCUAAAACACUCUCAGUGUUGGAGAGCGUUUGUGAUGCUGAAGCAGUGAUCAGUUUUUCUGUUUCUUCUCUGGAGAUGCACAAUGAGGGACGUCUGCAGAGACUGAGAAAGAGUCUCACCACAUCCUGACAUGAGGAAAAAGACUUUAUUGAAGACUACAAUGAGAAAAACUAUCAGACAGCAGACGGCUGCAUUCAAGGUGAGCUCUGAACAUUUGAUCUGGAACAGGAAUUCAAUAACUGCAGCAUGAGCUUCAUUUCAGUCUGUAGCUGCUGAAUUCAUGGAUGAACCAUCUGGCACUAGAGAGGAAGACCAUCAAACAUCCACAUCAGCUGAUGGAGGUCCAAGAGUCUCACCAAACAAACAACCUACAGAGUGAAGACCUCAAAUCUGAUUGGAUGGCCUCCUAUUCAGCCACGUGUGAACAAAUGCCUCUAAGUUGAUUUGUUUUCUAAAAUAAAUCUAGUUUGAGUCCUAAUCUAUGCCUGUGUGUUUGCUUCUUUACACCGCUGUUAACAGUUUAGGCUGUUAGAUUGUUCCAGAUAAGACAAGUACAAGAUUCUUCAGAGCCGUUCUACCACGAGCCUGACAGGAAGAACUCCAACAGCUACUGAAUGUUCCUGUGGUUCCCUCAAGGCUACAGGAGGAGCCCUACGAGGACAAGAAGGUCCACCUGAUG
Molecule: long non-coding RNA, 2511 nt
Organism: Amphiprion ocellaris (clown anemonefish)
Lineage: Eukaryota; Metazoa; Chordata; Actinopteri; Pomacentridae
Source: Ensembl